GAUGAACGCCGGCGGCGUGCUUAACACAUGCAAGUCGAACGAAGCACUUUAUUUGAUUUCCUUCGGGACUGAUUAUUUUGUGACUGAGUGGCGGACGGGUGAGUAACGCGUGGGUAACCUGCCUUGUACAGGGGGAUAACAGUUGGAAACGGCUGCUAAUACCGCAUAAGCGCACAGCAUCGCAUGAUGCAGUGUGAAAAACUCCGGUGGUAUAAGAUGGACCCGCGUUGGAUUAGCUAGUUGGUGAGGUAACGGCCCACCAAGGCGACGAUCCAUAGCCGACCUGAGAGGGUGACCGGCCACAUUGGGACUGAGACACGGCCCAAACUCCUACGGGAGGCAGCAGUGGGGAAUAUUGCACAAUGGGCGAAAGCCUGAUGCAGCGACGCCGCGUGAGCGAAGAAGUAUUUCGGUAUGUAAAGCUCUAUCAGCAGGGAAGAUAAUGACGG
Molecule: ribosomal RNA, 449 nt
Filed under: uncultured bacterium
Lineage: Bacteria
Description: bacterial SSU rRNA
Rfam family: Bacterial small subunit ribosomal RNA
Source: RNAcentral